RNAcentral lists this ribosomal RNA (417 nucleotides) under uncultured Methanosaeta sp. RNAcentral describes it as "bacterial SSU rRNA". It matches the Rfam family "Archaeal small subunit ribosomal RNA", at positions 330 to 747 of the family's 1478-position model. The record is from RNAcentral. Lineage: Archaea; Methanobacteriati; Methanobacteriota; Methanomicrobia; Methanotrichales; Methanotrichaceae.
GUGCACCAGUCGAGAAAACUUUACAAUGCGGGAAACCGUGAUAAGGGAAUCUCGAGUGCCAGCAUAUAAUGUUGGCUGUCCAGAUGCCUAAAAAGCAUCUGUUAGCAAGGGCCGGGCAAGACCGGUGCCAGCCGCCGCGGUAACACCGGCGGCCCGAGUGGUAACCGUUUUUAUUGGGUCUAAAGGGUCUGUAGCCGGCCAUGUAAGUCCCUUGGGAAAUCUGGCAGCUCAACUGUCAGGCUGCUAGGGGAUACUGCUUGGCUUGGGACCGGGAGAGGUGAGAGGUACCUUGAGGGUAGGGGUGAAAUCUUGUGAUCCUCGGGGGACCACCAGUGGCGAAGGCGUCUCACCAGAACGGGUCCGACGGUAAGGGACGAAAGCUAGGGGCACGAACCGGAUUAGAUACCCCGGUAGUCC